RNAcentral lists this ribosomal RNA (301 nucleotides) under uncultured bacterium. Its description in RNAcentral is "partial 16S ribosomal RNA". It matches the Rfam family "Bacterial small subunit ribosomal RNA", at positions 509 to 809 of the family's 1533-position model. The record is from RNAcentral.
CAGUCGCCGCGGUAAUACAGUGGGUGCAAGCGUUAAUCGGAUUUACUGGGCGUAAAGGGCGCGUAGGUGGUUAUUUAAGUGAGAUGUGAAAUCCCCGGGCUUAACCUGGGAACUGCAUCUUAUACUGGGUAACUGGAGUGCAAUAGAGGGUAGUGGAAUUUCCGGUGUAGCGGUGAAAUGCGUAGAUAUCGGAAGGAACACCAGUGGCGAAGGCGGCUACCUGGAUUGACACUGACACUGAGGCGCGAGAGCGUGGGGAGCAAACAGGAUUAGAUACCCCAGUAGUCCCUGUCUCUUAUAA